CAGUAGCCGCGGGAACACGUAGGGUGCAAGCGUUAAUCGGGAUUACUGGGCGUAAAGCGUGCGCAGGCGGUUAUAUAAGUCAGAUGUGAAAUCCCCGGGCUCAACCUGGGAACUGCAUUCGAAACUGUAUGGCUAGAGUGUGUCAGAGGGGGGUAGAAUUCCACGUGUAGCAGUGAAAUGCGUAGAUAUGCGGAGGAACACCGAUGGCGAAGGCAAUCCCCUGGACCUGUACUGACGCUCAUGCACGAAAGCGUGGGGAGCAAACAGGAUUAGAUACCCCCGUAGUCCCUGUCUCUUAUAA
RNAcentral lists this ribosomal RNA (301 nucleotides) under uncultured bacterium. RNAcentral's name for it is "partial 16S ribosomal RNA". It matches the Rfam family "Bacterial small subunit ribosomal RNA", at positions 509 to 809 of the family's 1533-position model. The record is from RNAcentral.